UUGGAGGGCAAGUUGGUGCCAGCAGCCGCGGUAAUUCCAGCUCCAAUAGCGUAUAUUAAAGUUGUUGUGGUUAAAAAGCUCGUAGUUGAACCUUGGGCCUGGCUGGCCGGUCCGCCUCACCGCGUGCACUGGUCCGGCCGGGCCUUUCCCUCUGCGGAACCCCAUGCCCUUCACUGGGUGUGGCGGGGAAACAGGACUUUUACUUUGAAAAAAUUAGAGUGCUCAAGGCAGGCCUAUGCUCGAAUACAUUAGCAUGGAAUAAUAGAAUAGGACGUGUGG
This 279-nucleotide ribosomal RNA is filed under the name uncultured Ascomycota. Its description in RNAcentral is "partial 18S ribosomal RNA". It matches the Rfam family "Eukaryotic small subunit ribosomal RNA", at positions 548 to 834 of the family's 1831-position model. Lineage: Eukaryota; Fungi; Ascomycota. The record is from RNAcentral.